UUGGGCAUUUUUAAUCCCUGGGCGCAGCAUACAAGAAGAGAAAUCCAGUGAGUUUUCAUCUGGCGUUAGAGCAGCAAGCGACAUGAAGCUUAUGAGGUUGUUCCACACUUUGUCUAUAUCCUUCAGCAGCUGUUGGAGUUUCUCACUACAAACAGCAGUUGCUUUGAUUCCCAGUUCAACUCUCUUUGUUACUCUGUAGACUUCAACAACCCCCAGCAAAUAUUCCAUGCCUUGAGCAGACUGGAUAACCUCAGUGCAAACAGAUGAGCUGCUUAUUCCAUUCAAGGUAUCGUUUGCUUUCUUUAUGACCUGCAGGGCACUCUCCAGGCACCUCUGCCACUCAUAUGCAUACCUCUCGCUUUCCUCAACCUCCC
Molecule: long non-coding RNA, 374 nt
Filed under: Gallus gallus (chicken)
Lineage: Eukaryota; Metazoa; Chordata; Aves; Galliformes; Phasianidae
Source: RNAcentral